This 496-nucleotide ribosomal RNA is filed under the name uncultured bacterium. RNAcentral's name for it is "partial 16S ribosomal RNA". It matches the Rfam family "Bacterial small subunit ribosomal RNA", at positions 28 to 506 of the family's 1533-position model. The record is from RNAcentral.
GACGAACGCUGGCGGCGUGCCUAAUACAUGCAAGUAGAACGCUGAAGAGAGGAGCUUACUCUUCUUGGAUGAGUUGCGAACGGGUGAGUAACGCGUAGGUAACCUGCCUUGUAGCGGGGGAUAACUAUUGGAAACGAUAGCUAAUACCGCAUAACAAUGGAUGACACAUGUCAUUUAUUUGAAAGGGGCAAUUGCUCCACUACAAGAUGGACCUGCGUUGUAUUAGCUAGUAGGUGAGGUAAUGGCUCACCUAGGCGACGAUACAUAGCCGACCUGAGAGGGUGAGCCGCCCCCCUGGGACUGAGCCACGGCCCAGACCCCUGCGGGGGGCAGCAGUGGGGAAUCUUCGGAAAUGGGGGCAACCCUGACCGAGCAACCCCGCGGGGGUGAAGAAGUUUUUCGGAUCUUAAAGCCUUUUUGUAAGUCAAAAACGGGUGGGAGGGUGGAAGGUUCACCCUGUGGCGGUAGCUUACCAGAAAGGGACGGCUAACUACGU